This 857-nucleotide ribosomal RNA is filed under the name Sarcosagium campestre. RNAcentral describes it as "SSU rRNA". It matches the Rfam family "Eukaryotic small subunit ribosomal RNA", at positions 4 to 871 of the family's 1831-position model. Lineage: Eukaryota; Fungi; Ascomycota. The record is from RNAcentral.
CUGGUUGAUUCUGCCAGUAGUCAUAUGCUUGUCUCAAAGAUUAAGCCAUGCAUGUCUAAGUAUAAGCAAUCUAUACUGUGAAACUGCGAAUGGCUCAUUAAUCAGUUAUCGUUUAUUUGAUAGUACCUUACUACAUGGAUAACCGUGGUAAUUCUAGAGCUAAUACAUGCUAAAAGCCCCGACUUCUGGAGGGGUGUAUUUAUUAGAUAAAAGACCAAUGCCCUUUGGGGCUCAGUGGUGAUUCAUGAUAACUUAACGAAUCGCAUGGCCUUGCGCCGGCGAUGGUUCAUUCAAAUUUCUGCCCUAUCAACUUUCGAUGGUAGGAUAGUGGCCUACCAUGGUUUCAACGGGUAACGGGGAAUUAGGGUUCUAUUCCGGAGAGGGAGCCUGAGAAACGGCUACCACAUCCAAGGAAGGCAGCAGGCGCGCAAAUUACCCAAUCCCAAUACGGGGAGGUAGUGACAAUAAAUACUGAUACAGGGCUCUUUUGGGUCUUGUAAUUGGAAUGAGUACAAUUUAAAUCCCUUAACGAGGAUCAAUUGGAGGGCAAGUCUGGUGCCAGCAGCCGCGGUAAUUCCAGCUCCAAUAGCGUAUAUUAAAGUUGUUGCAGUUAAAAAGCUCGUAGUUGAACCUUGGGCCUGGCUGGCCGGUCCGCCUCACCGCGUGCACUGGUCCGGCCGGGCCUUUCCUUCUGGGGAGCCGCAUGCCCUUCACUGGGCGUGUUGGGGAACCAGGACUUUUACUUUGAAAAAAUUAGAGUGUUCAAAGCAGGCCUAUGCUCGAAUACAUUAGCAUGGAAUAAUGGAAUAGGACGUGCGAUCCUAUUGUGUUGGUUUCUAGGACCGCCGUAAUGAUUA